ACGGGAGGCAGCAGUGGGGAAUAUUGGACCAUGGGGGAAACCCUGAUCCAGCGACGCCGCGUGAGUGAAGAAGUAUUUCGGUAUGUAAAGCUCUAUCAGCAAGGAAGAAAAUGACGGUACUUGACUAAGAAGCUCCGGCUAAAUACAUGCCAGCAGCCGCGGUAAUACGUAGGGGGCAAGCGUUAUCCGGAUUUACUGGGUGUAAAGGGAGCGUAGACGGAACAGCAAGUCUGAAGUGAAAUGUAGGGGCUCAACCCCUGAACUGCCUUGGAAACUGCUGAUCUUGAGUACCGGAGGGGCAGGCGGAAUUCCUGGUGUAGCGGUGAAAUGCGUAGAUAUCAGGAAGAACACCGGUGGCGAAGGCGGCCUGCUGGACGGCAACUGACGUUGAGGCUCGAAAGCGUGGGGAGCAAACAGGAUUAGAUACCCUGGUA
Molecule: ribosomal RNA, 434 nt
Filed under: uncultured Lachnospiraceae bacterium
Lineage: Bacteria; Bacillati; Bacillota; Clostridia; Lachnospirales; Lachnospiraceae
Description: partial 16S ribosomal RNA
Rfam family: Bacterial small subunit ribosomal RNA
Source: RNAcentral